UCACACAGCCUGUUGAUUUCAUUGGAG
This 27-nucleotide non-coding RNA is filed under the name Mus musculus (house mouse). Lineage: Eukaryota; Metazoa; Chordata; Mammalia; Rodentia; Muridae. The record is from RNAcentral.